UGGGGUAUCGCCAAGCUGGUAAGGCACGGGAUUCUGAAUCCCGCAUUCGUUGGUUCGAGUCCAGCUACCCCAGCCA
RNAcentral lists this transfer RNA (76 nucleotides) under Selenomonadaceae bacterium. Its description in RNAcentral is "tRNA-Gln". It matches the Rfam family "tRNA". From Rfam's summary of the family: Transfer RNA (tRNA) molecules are approximately 80 nucleotides in length. Their secondary structure includes four short double-helical elements and three loops (D, anti-codon, and T loops). The record is from RNAcentral. Lineage: Bacteria; Bacillati; Bacillota; Negativicutes; Selenomonadales; Selenomonadaceae.